This 399-nucleotide ribosomal RNA is filed under the name uncultured bacterium. RNAcentral describes it as "bacterial SSU rRNA". It matches the Rfam family "Bacterial small subunit ribosomal RNA", at positions 28 to 429 of the family's 1533-position model. The record is from RNAcentral.
GACGAACGCUGGCGGCGUGCUUAACACAUGCAAGUCGAGCGGUAAGGCCCUUUCGGGGGUACACGAGCGGCGAACGGGUGAGUAACACGUGGGUGACCUGCCCUCAGCUCUGGGAUAAGCCUGGGAAACCGGGUCUAAUACCGGAUACGACUCCAUGACGCAUGUUGUGGGGUGGAAAGCCUUGUGCGGCUGAGGAUGGGCCCGCGGCCUAUCAGCUUGUUGGUGGGGUGAUGGCCUACCAAGGCGACGACGGGUAGCCGGCCUGAGAGGGCGACCGGCCACACUGGGACUGAGACACGGCCCAGACUCCUACGGGAGGCAGCAGUGGGGAAUUUUUCGCAAUGGGGGAAACCCUGACGAAGCAACGCCGCGUGGAGGAUGAAGGCCUUCGGUCGUAAC